UAGAAUCUAGAGUAUUGGUAGCAUGAAGAAUUUUGAAUUCUUAAGAGUAGGUUCAAUUCUUAUGGCUCUAA
Molecule: transfer RNA, 71 nt
Filed under: Tupaia belangeri chinensis (Chinese tree shrew)
Lineage: Eukaryota; Metazoa; Chordata; Mammalia; Scandentia; Tupaiidae
Description: Tupaia chinensis (Chinese tree shrew) tRNA
Rfam family: tRNA
About the family: Transfer RNA (tRNA) molecules are approximately 80 nucleotides in length. Their secondary structure includes four short double-helical elements and three loops (D, anti-codon, and T loops).
Source: Rfam by way of RNAcentral